This 77-nucleotide small nuclear RNA is filed under the name Sorex araneus (European shrew). RNAcentral describes it as "U2 spliceosomal RNA (ENSSARG00000017964.1)". It matches the Rfam family "U2 spliceosomal RNA", at positions 1 to 82 of the family's 192-position model. Rfam says of the family: U2 is a small nuclear RNA (snRNA) component of the spliceosome (involved in pre-mRNA splicing). Complementary binding between U2 snRNA (in an area lying towards the 5' end but 3' to hairpin I) and the branchpoint sequence (BPS) of the intron results the bulging out of an unpaired adenosine, on the BPS, which initiates a nucleophilic attack at the intronic 5' splice site, thus starting the first of two transesterification reactions that mediate splicing. Lineage: Eukaryota; Metazoa; Chordata; Mammalia; Eulipotyphla; Soricidae. The record is from RNAcentral.
AUCGCUUCUCAGCCUUUUGGCUAAGAUCAAGUGUAGUAUCUGUUCUUACCAGUUCAAAAAGAAUAUAUUGAACAGUA